Molecule: ribosomal RNA, 395 nt
Filed under: uncultured bacterium
Lineage: Bacteria
Description: bacterial SSU rRNA
Rfam family: Bacterial small subunit ribosomal RNA
Source: RNAcentral
GGAAUAUUGGACAAUGGGCGAAAGCCUGAUCCAGCCAUGCCGCGUGAGUGAAGAAGGCCUUAGGGUUGUAAAGCUCUUUCACCUGCGAAGAUGAUGACGGUAGCAGGAGAAGAAGCCCCGGCUAACCCCGUGCCAGCAGCCGCGGUAAUACGGAGGGGGCUAGCGUUAUUCGGAAUUAUUGGGCGUAAAGCGCGCGUAGGCGGCCAGGUAAGUCAUGGGUGAAAUCCCUCGGCUCAACCGAGGAAUUGCCUUUGAAACUACCUGGCUCGAGGCCGGGAGGGGGUAGCGGAAUUCCCAGUGUAGCGGUGAAAUGCGUAGAUAUUGGGAGGAACACCGGUGGCGAAGGCGGCUACCUGGACCGGUUCUGACGCUGAUGCGCGAAAGCGUGGGGAGCA